CAAUUACAGCCUCUGAAUUACAGAAAACAAACUGGUGGACUACGUAUGUGCAGGGCUGCUUGCAUGUGAUUUGACUGCAGAGAGCACAGACAACACGGGCUGAAUGGGGUGAAUAUGAUGUGGACGACCCCCGGUCGAGAAGGUACCCAUGGAGUCAGACGCCGCAGUCGACUCUCAGUCGCGACCCCCUGACCCGUGCCUCUCCCCUCGAUCCACCUCAGUCCGAUGAAUCAGGUUUCUGAGGAAAGAACAAGAAACUGAAACCCGGCUCAAAGCCAUAUCUCUUUCAGGGCUCUCUCCGGACUUUCCUCCCAGCCCAGAACAAUGGCGGGCCCAGGAGCCCAGCUUCCCCACAGGCCCCGGCGAGAGGAGGCCGGGGGCUGGGUACUGAGGGAGCCGCUCAGCAUGCUGAAAUAUGGAGGCGACAGAUAAGGUGGCAGCGGCACAGAGAGGCCCUCUCCCAUGGGCCCAAGGGGAAAUUUGCAGUUAUUAAGAGGAAGAUGAGAGAGAUUAAAUGGCUUUUGUACUCAUUUUCACAGGCUUUUAUUUUUUUUAUUAUUUGGGCUGCCUUCAUCUGAGAGAUGAAAGAAGUGGUAAAUGACUUUUUUUUCCUUCUUUUUUGUGCGUCAUUCAGCAACACACUGGCUUUGAGAGACAAUUCUUCAUUACUGAGAGUUGUCACACAUCAUGAAACACUUGUUAGUGCGCUAUUGUUUUAAAAGGUGCAGAAGUAAUAGAAUUACGGUAAUCUACAGCUAAUCUCAAAUGUAACAUGGGUUAGGAAUGUGUUUGAGGAAAUUACAAUAUGUUACAUACAUGUAGAUUUAUUAAGAUGAUGUAAAUCUUAAAUCUGUUUGAGUUCCAUUGAAACUCUGUCACAGAAGG
Epinephelus lanceolatus (giant grouper) is the source of this 885-nucleotide non-coding RNA. The record is from RefSeq and is a predicted model, not a curated record. Lineage: Eukaryota; Metazoa; Chordata; Actinopteri; Perciformes; Serranidae.